This 1505-nucleotide unclassified non-coding RNA is filed under the name Agrilus planipennis (emerald ash borer). Its description in RNAcentral is "glycine-rich cell wall structural protein 1.0, transcript variant X4". Lineage: Eukaryota; Metazoa; Arthropoda; Insecta; Coleoptera; Buprestidae. The record is from RNAcentral.
AGCAACUUCGUUGUGGCGUGGUAUUUGUUUGGUGUGUGGUUGUCGCCAUUGAUAAGAAAAUCUUCAAUUUUCUUGUGUUAAACACUUUGAUUACCUGAAAUAAAAAAUGAGUCGACGUAGUGCUAAUACAACGAAAGUUUUCGUUGGUCGUUUACCCGCGGCUGCGACUACUGAUGAUUUACGGCGUCUUUUUGCCCCCUAUGGUAAAAUUGUAGAGUGCGAUAUCGCCAAUAACUGCGGUUUCCUCCAUUUAGAGGAUAGAGAACUCGCAAUUAAGGCAAUACAAGAAUUGGAUAAUACUUCUUUACUUGGCGCCAGAAUAUCGGUUGAAAAGGGUAGGGUUAAACCCCCAAGAAAUCGGGGUCGUGACGGUGGGGGUCCCAUGAGAGGUGGCAGAGAUCGUGGCGGUCCUUAUUCUCGUGACGGUUAUGGAAGGGGACCACAAAGGAAUGGGGGUGGUGGAUAUAAUAGAGAUUAUCCACCAUACGAUGACAGGUAUGGAGGAAUGCCUUCAAGGGGUGGAUAUGGAUCUGAUUAUAGGGGAGGUGGUGACGGUCGCCCACCUUUUGAUGAUCGCAGAGGUUACAACAGAUCGUAUGGAGGACCCCCACCUAAUGGAUAUGGUGGUCCAGGCGGUUAUGAUGGCAACUAUGAUGAUAGAGGACCAAUGGGAGACAGGAGACCUCUUUUAGACCAACAAGGACCUAGAGGUGGAGGUGGUUAUGACAGAGGAUCUUCAAAUGAAAUGUUCAGUAGAAGAGAUGCAAAGUCUAGUGGUCCAUCGGGGGGCUAUGGAGAUCGAGGAGGAUAUGGUGGGCCUGGUGGAGGCUAUGGUAAUAACGGUGGUUAUAAUGCUCCUCCAGCUGCAGGCUAUGGACAAGUUGCUCCAGGGCCAGCAGGUGGUUAUGGAGGUGGUGGUUAUGGCGGCGGUCCCGCACCAGUUGCUGGAGGUUAUGGUGAUAAUAGAUCACCAAUGGGAGGUGGCUAUGGAGAAGCUAAGCCAGUAGCUCCUACAGGACAAGUAGGAUAUGGAGGGCCGGCGGGUGGUUUUGGUGUAGCGUCACCAGGGGGCUACGGGGCCGGAGGAGGUUCAGCAGGCUAUGGAGAUGGUUAUACAAGAUCAGGCAAUUAUGAAACCGCUUAUCCACUCCCCGCCCAAAGAAGGAACCGAUGAUGAAGAAUUGCUUCCUUCGGAGCGUAAAAAUGCCCACGAAUUUAGGGUUCAUUUGUUCUCCUUGAAUUCUCAUCAGCUCUUUAAGAAGGGCUCGUUGAGCUUCGUCGGUCCUUUCCAUCUCUAGUUGUUGAGCAAGACGUUGUCUCACGUUUUCACUACCAAUUUCUUCGGCCUUCUCUAUUGCUGCGUAUAUGGCUGUGCGGGCUUCAUCUUCUAAUAGACGGAGCUUAAAUGAACAAUCGACCUGGUUUUCAUCUACAAUUCCGCUGCAGAACCUGUUGUAGCGGUAUUUCAUCAGCCAGUGUGCUAAAUACUGAACGGGAUCUCUCGG